GAUGAACGCUAGAGACGCACAUAACACAUGCAAGUUAAUGAUAUAUAUAAUUUAUUAUAUACAUCAUAGCGAACUGGUGAGUAAUAAAUGAGAAUUAAAAUAUAGGUCAGGCAUAAAUUUUUUAAUUCCUGUUAAGCGCAUAGUGCUAAAAAAGGUUUUAUUACCGCCUAUAACCGAGCUCAUAUCUGAUUAGCUAGUUGGUAAGGUAAAGGCUUACCAAGGCGAUGAUCAGUAGCUGGCCUGAGAGGGCGAUCAGCCACAUUGGGAUUGAGAUACAGCCCAAACUCUUA
This 290-nucleotide ribosomal RNA is filed under the name bacterium. Its description in RNAcentral is "partial 16S rRNA". It matches the Rfam family "Bacterial small subunit ribosomal RNA", at positions 28 to 341 of the family's 1533-position model. The record is from RNAcentral.